CGAUCCUGCCUCGGUGGAGAGCGGGGAGGGGGAGAAACAAACACAGCACCACGACACCCCCCCCCCCCCCCCCCCGCCCCCCCUCCUCCUGCCCUUUUGGGGAGAAAAACUGGGAAAACGGUUAAAAAUCUCCCCCUCCCUCCCUAGGGCCGAAAGGUCCGAGCCCCGCCUUUACCAAAAAGCCACGUUUUCCACUCAAAAUCCCACUGAAGGGACCCGGCCGAGCGCUGCUGCCGGAAGGGCCUGGCGCCGGCCGCUCAUUUUGGGGCACUUUGGGCCUUUUUUUAUGCUUUUGGUUUUUUUGCUUCCGAAUUUGUGAAUCCGGAGGGGAAAACCAAGCAAAAUUGGGGCUAAAUCGGUAAAAAAAUAAUAAAAACCAACACACCCUCCCUGGGCGAAAAAAACCACCACCGCCACCUGGAUCCUCGCGGCGCUCCGUGCCCCCGUUUUGGGUGAAAACCACCCGAAAUACCUAUUUUCUGCCUUUCCUACACGUUUUUGGGAGGUUUUGCUGCCGGGCUCUGCCUUUUUCGGGUCGGGCGUCCUCGCGCUGCCUCGUUUUUGGGGCAUUUUCCUGCGGAUCUCACUGAGCUGCGCGGAGAAGCCGGGGCCAGCGCCCAGCAGACCCCUUUUUUGGCCUUUUUUCCCCCAAAAAGGCGGCGGGGGUCGGGGCGCCCCCUCCUCAUCUUUACUUAGCGCUGGCCCAGAAGCUGCGGCUCGGGCGCCGUGGCUGCACCUGCGAGACAGAGCCCCCCCCGUCAGCCCCCGUUUGGGGUGAAAGCGCCGCGUUUGGGGAUUUUUGUGUUUUUUGGUGGUUUUUUUUUGUCCGAAUCCGGCUUUUUUUGCAUCCCUCCGCGCCGGUUUUGGGGUGGGGGUGGGUGGGGGGUCCCGGCGCGCCCCGGCUCCUCCCGGCACAACCGCCCGCCGCGCCCCCGACCGCCGCCACCUCCAAAACGGCCGGAAAUCGCCCCAAAAUCCGUGCCCCUCCCUCCGCCGCCUUUUUGGGGGUAAAAAGCGGCUUUUCUUCCAAGCUGGCACUGCCUCCUACCUCUGCAUCUGUGAAAAGGCCGGAAAACACCCCAAAAAA
This 1087-nucleotide long non-coding RNA is filed under the name Anser brachyrhynchus (Pink-footed goose). Its description in RNAcentral is "lncRNA (ENSABRG00000008464.1)". Lineage: Eukaryota; Metazoa; Chordata; Aves; Anseriformes; Anatidae. The record is from RNAcentral.